UACGUAGGGGGCAAGCGUUAUCCGGAUUUACUGGGUGUAAAGGGAGCGUAGACGGCAUGGCAAGUCUGAUGUGAAAACCCGGGGCUCAACCGCGGGACUGCAUUGGAAACUGUCGGGCUAGAGUGUCGGAGAGGCAAGUGGAAUUCCUAGUGUAGCGGUGAAAUGCGUAGAUAUUAGGAGGAACACCAGUGGCGAAGGCGGCUUGCUGGACGAUGACUGACGUUGAGGCUCGAAAGCGUGGGGAGCAAACA
This 251-nucleotide ribosomal RNA is filed under the name uncultured bacterium. RNAcentral's name for it is "partial 16S ribosomal RNA". It matches the Rfam family "Bacterial small subunit ribosomal RNA", at positions 524 to 774 of the family's 1533-position model. The record is from RNAcentral.